RNAcentral lists this ribosomal RNA (1413 nucleotides) under metagenome. Its description in RNAcentral is "bacterial SSU rRNA". It matches the Rfam family "Bacterial small subunit ribosomal RNA". The record is from RNAcentral.
AGAGUUUGAUCCUGGCUCAGGAUGAACGCUGGCGGUAUGCCUAUCACAUGCAAGUCGAACGGAAUCCUUCGGGAUUUAGUGGCGGACGGGUGAGUAACGCGUGAGAACCUACCUUCAGGACGGGGACAACAGUUGGAAACGACUGCUAAUACCCGAUGUGCCGCAAGGUGAAAGAUUUAUCGUCUGAAGAAGGGCUCGCGUCUGAUUAGCUAGUUGGUGGGGUAAGAGCCUACCAAGGCGACGAUCAGUAGCUGGUCUGAGAGGAUGAGCAGCCACACUGGAACUGAGACACGGUCCAGACUCCUACGGGAGGCAGCAGUGGGGAAUUUUCCGCAAUGGGCGCAAGCCUGACGGAGCAAUACCGCGUGAGGGAGGAAGGCUCUUGGGUUGUAAACCGCUUUUGUCAGGGAAGAAACGCCUUGGGUCAAUACCCCGAGGUAAUGACGGUACCUAAGGAAUCAGCAUCGGCUAACUCCGUGCCAGCAGCCGCGGUAAUACGGAGGAUGCAAGCGUUAUCCGGAAUUAUUGGGCGUAAAGCGUCCGCAGGUGGUCAGACAAGUCUGCCGUUAAAGCGUGGGGCUUAACCCCAUAAAGGCGGUGGAAACUGUCAGACUAGAGUUCGGUAGGGGUAGCAGGAAUUCCCAGUGUAGCGGUGAAAUGCGUAGAGAUUGGGAAGAACAUCGGUGGCGAAGGCGUGCUACUGGGCCGAAACUGACACUCAGGGACGAAAGCUAGGGGAGCGAAAGGGAUUAGAUACCCCUGUAGUCCUAGCUGUAAACGAUGGAUACUAGGCGUAGUCUGUAUCGACCCGGACUGUGCCGAAGCUAACGCGUUAAGUAUCCCGCCUGGGGAGUACGCACGCAAGUGUGAAACUCAAAGGAAUUGACGGGGGCCCGCACAAGCGGUGGAGUAUGUGGUUUAAUUCGAUGCAACGCGAAGAACCUUACCAGGGCUUGACAUGUCGCGAAUCCCCUUGAAAGGGGGGAGUGCCUUCGGGAGCGCGAACACAGGUGGUGCAUGGCUGUCGUCAGCUCGUGUCGUGAGAUGUUGGGUUAAGUCCCGCAACGAGCGCAACCCUCGUUUUUAGUUGCCAGCAUUAAGUUGGGCACUCUAGAAAGACUGCCGGUGACAAACCGGAGGAAGGUGGGGAUGACGUCAAGUCAGCAUGCCCCUUACGCCCUGGGCUACACACGUACUACAAUGGUUGGGACAAAGGGCAGCCAACUCGCAAGAGUGAGCGAAUCUCAUCAAACCCAGCCUCAGUUCAGAUUGCAGGCUGCAACUCGCCUGCAUGAAGGAGGAAUCGCUAGUAAUCGCAGGUCAGCAUACUGCGGUGAAUCCGUUCCCGGGCCUUGUACACACCGCCCGUCACACCAUGGAAGCUGGCCACGCCCGAAGUCGUUACUCCAACCG